Molecule: long non-coding RNA, 554 nt
Organism: Gasterosteus aculeatus aculeatus (three-spined stickleback)
Lineage: Eukaryota; Metazoa; Chordata; Actinopteri; Perciformes; Gasterosteidae
Source: Ensembl
AUCCAAAUGAUCCUGCAGCCUCUCUCCUCUGUAACUGUGCUUGUGUCGCCUGAAAAGAAACAAAGCGUCCAACUGAGAUCAAAACAGCAGCCGCGAACCAACGAGACGAAACGGUGAUGUCAUGCUUCCUGUGCGUCACUGUGCUGGCCGUCUAGCAUUCCGCUGUUUUCAUAUUAGCAGGAACGCCAGCCCCCCUCCAAACAGCAGCAGGAGGAGGAGGACGGGACACAGGACGGCUGCUGUUGGCCCCCUGCCCUCUGUCCUGCAAGGCGCUGUCCGCCAGGAGAAAAACAACCAAACAUCAUCGCACAUGGCCGCCCUAAAAGACGACCCACAAAGGAAUCAACAUGUCUUAUUUCAGUUUGUGUGUCUGUGGACCCUUCAGACCCCCAAAUAACUGCUGACUGAUAAAGUGAGGACUCGUACCCGCGGUGUAGCUGGCGGCGCUGUGGCCCAGCUUGUUGCUGACCACGCAGGUGAAAUGGCCGCAGAAGGGCGUCCGGGUCACAAACAACGUGGUUCCGUCUCCGGAGACCCUCCCCACGGCAUCGGUG